ACACACGCUUUACUGUGGCCAAACGCUGGGACUUCUCCUUUGGACCAGUUCUGCGUGGGACCUAGACGCCCCCCACCCCGUCUCUUAGCCCCCCCCCCAUCCUGAUCUCCCCCGCUGUGGCCUAGAGGCCUGUGGCCACUGUCAAGGGGCCCCCCGUCUGGAGGGCUUGGGUCCGGCUCCCCCGCCGCCACGGUGAUUUAUUCGCCUCACUCGACGGAAUCAGGUGCUGAACCGAGCCCCGGAACGAGGGAACAGAUUUCUCCCAGGAAGGGUUUUGUGAACUUAACGAUGCUAAUUACGGGGUGCGGGACGCGCUGCUGGAGGAGGAGGAGGGGAGGCACGCUGGGCCAAGCUGGGCCAGCUUGGGGAAAGGCUUAGGCUGCGGGCCUCCCUGGGCGCCUUCCAGAAGCCUCCCUUACGCCUCUCGUCCGGGCUUCACCCUUCCCUGGGAACUUUCCUGUCUGAGUUAACUAUUAACCGUUGGCGAGAGGCAAUUUUCUUCGGAAUUUCAGCGAUUUCCUUUUCGCCGCGGAAGCAGAUUAACAUGCAAACGGGGAGGCGAUCGGCUCGAGUCUGUCUCUCCAAACUGCCCCGACCGCCGGACAGCGGAAAACUACAGCCCCGGCCACCCCACGCCUGCUUGAGCAGGGGCCGUGACCCAGCCAGUACCCGCAGAGAAGGUGGAAAAAGCCCAGCGUUUGUGCUGGAGCAAAGUUGGGGGUGGGAUGGGGGGCUUAACCCAGACUUAGCCAGAGACCUCAGCCGUUAGCGUGUACAGUCACACCAGAAACCCAGAAGCACCACAGCCAGAUCCGGGUCCCAAGCCUUGCUCACUGGAAUGUUCAGAAGACACGGGCGAACACAGGGAGAAAGAGCCUUCUCAGGCGCGCAGACCCCCAAACGAUAACUCCCUUCCCCUCUCUUUGUCACAGCACCCCAGAGUGCGCACCCUGCUCAGGCUUCUGACCACCGCUGCAAACUUUGUUAAACUCCUUGCCCUCCCGCCCCGCCCCGGUUCUUUUCUUGCCUGGCCUGCUUUUCCUGAAGCAGGGAAAGAGAAGGUUAUCACCCUCGGAUCCUGAGAGUUGGGACCCUGUCUGGCAGGCACAUUAGCCUCUGGCCUCCCGCCAGGCUGCCAGACAGCGGAGCAUUCCUCGCUGAGAAGCACUGGUGACUGGAGCGGCCAGGCUUGCCAUGGCCCCUGCUGCUGUUCUUAGGGUUGCCCUUGUCUGAUUCUCCCAGGACACUCGGGACUUGUCCCAGUCUUAGGCACGGACACUGAUUGCGCCUUAUGAAGUUCUAACUGGUUUUGUGUCAGGAAGAUCUUUCUCGCUGCUACCCAGCCUGGCGUGACGGAUUAAACAUCAACUAGUUAAAUAAAAAUUAAUAUCAACUGCC
Long non-coding RNA from Mus musculus (house mouse), 1398 nucleotides. RefSeq annotates it as predicted gene, 35610. The transcript has 3 exons. NCBI's taxonomy places the organism in Eukaryota, Metazoa, Chordata, Mammalia, Rodentia, Muridae. The record is from RefSeq and is a predicted model, not a curated record.